This 465-nucleotide ribosomal RNA is filed under the name uncultured Klebsiella sp. RNAcentral's name for it is "bacterial SSU rRNA". It matches the Rfam family "Bacterial small subunit ribosomal RNA", at positions 338 to 795 of the family's 1533-position model. The record is from RNAcentral. Lineage: Bacteria; Pseudomonadati; Pseudomonadota; Gammaproteobacteria; Enterobacterales; Enterobacteriaceae.
CCUACGGGUGGCAGCAGUGGGGAAUAUUGCACAAUGGGCGCAAGCCUGAUGCAGCCAUGCCGCGUGUGUGAAGAAGGCCUUCGGGUUGUAAAGCACUUUCAGCGGGGAGGAAGGCGGUGAGGUUAAUAACCUCAUCGAUUGACGUUACCCGCAGAAGAAGCACCGGCUAACUCCGUGCCAGCAGCCGCGGUAAUACGGAGGGUGCAAGCGUUAAUCGGAAUUACUGGGCGUAAAGCGCACGCAGGCGGUCUGUCAAGUCGGAUGUGAAAUCCCCGGGCUCAACCUGGGAACUGCAUUCGAAACUGGCAGGCUAGAGUCUUGUAGAGGGGGGUAGAAUUCCAGGUGUAGCGGUGAAAUGCGUAGAGAUCUGGAGGAGUACCGGUGGCGAAGGCGGCCCCCUGGACAAAGACUGACGCUCAGGUGCGAAAGCGUGGGGAGCAAACAGGAUUAGAUACCCGAGUAGUC